UACAGAGGGUGCGAGCGUUAAUCGGAAUUACUGGGCGUAAAGCGUGCGUAGACGGCUAUCUAAGUCGGGUGUGAAAGCCCCGGGCUCAACCUGGGAAUUGCAUUCGAGACUGAAUAGCUAGGGUACGGUAGAGGGAAGUGGAAUUUCCGGUGUAGCGGUGAAAUUCGUAGAUAUUCGGAGGAACACCAGUGGCGAAGGCGGCUCACUGGUCCAUUACUGACGCUGAGGUGCGAAAGCGUGGGGAGCAAACAGG
RNAcentral lists this ribosomal RNA (253 nucleotides) under uncultured bacterium. Its description in RNAcentral is "partial 16S ribosomal RNA". It matches the Rfam family "Bacterial small subunit ribosomal RNA", at positions 524 to 776 of the family's 1533-position model. The record is from RNAcentral.